UGGGGAAUAUUGCACAAUGGGCGAAAGCCUGAUGCAGCAACGCCGCGUGAGUGAUGAAGGCCUUCGGGUUGUAAAGCUCUGUCUUCUGGGACGAUAAUGACGGUACCAGAGGAGGAAGCCACGGCUAACUACGUGCCAGUAGCCGCGGUAAUACGUAGGUGGCAAGCGUUGUCCGGAUUUACUGGGCGUCAAGGAUGAGUAGGCGGAUACUUAAGUCAGAUGUGAAAAUCCCGGGCUUAGCUUGGGAACUGCAUUUGAAACUGGGUAUCUAGAGUGCGGGAGAGGAAAGUGGAAUUCCUAGUGUAGCGGUGAAAUGCUUAGAGAUUAGGAAGAACACCAGUGGCGAAGGCGACUUUCUGGACCGUAACGGACGCUGAGGCAUGAAAGCGUGGGGA
This 395-nucleotide ribosomal RNA is filed under the name uncultured bacterium. RNAcentral's name for it is "bacterial SSU rRNA". It matches the Rfam family "Bacterial small subunit ribosomal RNA", at positions 355 to 767 of the family's 1533-position model. The record is from RNAcentral.